Small nucleolar RNA from Chiloscyllium plagiosum (whitespotted bambooshark), 143 nucleotides. RefSeq annotates it as small nucleolar RNA SNORA47. NCBI's taxonomy places the organism in Eukaryota, Metazoa, Chordata, Chondrichthyes, Orectolobiformes, Hemiscylliidae. The record is from RefSeq and is a predicted model, not a curated record.
UGGAGGACUGAGAAGGUGAGGUAGCUUUAUAACUGUGCUGCACUUGCUGGUAGUGACCUCCCAAAUUAAAGUAAUACAGCAGUGUAUUCUGUGCUGCAGCACUUCAUUGUUGCGAAAGCACCUCAUUGCUGUGUACACUGUUU